GCUUCAUAUUGGAGAAUGUGUGUAGCUAAUCGGGGAACUCUGCGUGCCAUGGCCAAAAAUCUUUUUCCCCGUAGUUCAAUGUGCGUAUCCGCUGAGGCCAUUACCGGUUACAAUGAUCCAAAGGGGGAGUGGGGUAGAAAGCCAGGCUCCAAAGAGGAGGCUAUUGGGCCACGUGUCACUGAAAUGCUUCGCCCUGCUGAUGGCCAGGUCACACUCGCUGUCCUGCGACCGGGGUUGGGCACGCGCAUUUGGAAAGCAAACCCGCCAGGGCCUGCUUCCUCAAGUGCAUUUUAUGACCACAAAGGCCAUCCCAGCCAGGAGCCACGUGAGGCAAGCCACCGACCGCAGUGUUAUCAGCCUCCAGCCAUUGUCUUUGGAGCAACUGAGUACCCGAGCCUAUUUCUUCACCUGCACAUUUUAUGAGAUCGGAACGUCCGUGAAGAAUUUCCGGAAGAAAGUGAGCAUCUGACCUGGGAUGGGCUGCCUGUGGACCACAUGCCCUGGGGGCUGCAGACUUAAUAGGAGGGAAAGGAUACAGAACAUCUCAUGAACAGCGUUCACGUUGAUUACACAUUGAAAUGAUAAUAUUCUUGGGAUACGUCGGCUUAAGUAAAAUACAUAAUUAAACUUAA
Long non-coding RNA from Acinonyx jubatus (cheetah), 632 nucleotides. RefSeq lists it as uncharacterized. The record is from RefSeq and is a predicted model, not a curated record. NCBI's taxonomy places the organism in Eukaryota, Metazoa, Chordata, Mammalia, Carnivora, Felidae. The transcript has 3 exons.